AGAGUUUGAUCCUGGCUCAGGAUGAACGCUGGCGGCGUGCCUAAUACAUGCAAGUCGAGCGAACUACUUCGGUAGUGAGCGGCGAACGGGUGAGUAACACGUAGGUGAUCUGCCCAUCAGACGGGGACAACGAUUGGAAACGAUCGCUAAUACCGGAUAGGACGAAAGUUUAAAGGUGCUUCUGGCACCGCUGAUGGAUG
RNAcentral lists this ribosomal RNA (200 nucleotides) under uncultured bacterium. RNAcentral's name for it is "partial 16S ribosomal RNA". It matches the Rfam family "Bacterial small subunit ribosomal RNA", at positions 8 to 227 of the family's 1533-position model. The record is from RNAcentral.